This 96-nucleotide small nuclear RNA is filed under the name Carlito syrichta (Philippine tarsier). The record is from RNAcentral. Lineage: Eukaryota; Metazoa; Chordata; Mammalia; Primates; Tarsiidae.
GUGCUCACUUUGACAGCACACGUUUGGAACAAUACAGAGAUUAGUGUGGCCCCGCGGGAGGAUGACUUGAAAAUUUGUGAAGCGCUCCAUAUUUGU